Molecule: ribosomal RNA, 364 nt
Filed under: uncultured bacterium
Lineage: Bacteria
Description: partial 16S ribosomal RNA
Rfam family: Bacterial small subunit ribosomal RNA
Source: RNAcentral
CCUACGGGGGGCAGCAGUGAGGAAUAUUGGUCAAUGGACGCAAGUCUGAACCAGCCAUGCCGCGUGCAGGAAGACGGCUCUAUGAGUUGUAAACUGCUUUUGUACGAGGGUAAACGCAGAUACGCGUAUCUGUCUGAAAGUAACCUACGAAUAAGGAUCGGCUAAAUCCGGUCCAGCCGCCGGGGUAAUACGGAGGAUUCAAGAGUUAUCCGGAUUUAUUGGGGUUAAAGGGGGGGUAGGCGGUCGGAUAAGUUAGAGUUGAAAUCCCGAGGCGCAACUAUGGAAUUGCCUGUGAUACUGUUCGGCUAGAGAGUAGUUGCGGUAGGCGGAAUGUAUGGUGUAGCGGUAAAAUGCUUAGAGAUCA